Molecule: ribosomal RNA, 401 nt
Filed under: uncultured bacterium
Lineage: Bacteria
Description: bacterial SSU rRNA
Rfam family: Bacterial small subunit ribosomal RNA
Source: RNAcentral
GGGGAAUAUUGGACAAUGGGCGCAAGCCUGAUCCAGCCAUGCCGCGUGAGUGAUGAAGGCCCUAGGGUUGUAAAGCUCUUUCGACGGGGACGAUAAUGACGGUACCCGUAGAAGAAGCCCCGGCUAACUUCGUGCCAGCAGCCGCGGUAAUACGAAGGGGGCUAGCGUUGUUCGGAAUCACUGGGCGUAAAGCGCACGUAGGCGGAUUAUUAAGUCGGGGGUGAAAUCCCGAGGCUCAACCUCGGAACUGCCUUCGAUACUGGUAAUCUUCGAGUCCGGGAGAGGUGAGUGGAACUCCGAGUGUAGAGGUGAAAUUCGUAGAUAUUCGGAAGAACACCAGUGGCGAAGGCGGCUCACUGGCCCGGUACUGACGCUGAGGUGCGAAAGCGUGGGGAGCAAAC